AUGGCAACUACCGCCUCACCCUCCACCACGACCACUCCCCGGUCCUUCCUCUCGUCGCCUUCCUUCUCACUCAGUGCUUGCAGGGCAUCGAAGUCGAACCACCUCCGGACGACGAGAAGGCUGCCCGUUAAUGUACGCUGCGCCAGUAGCUCUCCGGCCGCCGAUACAUCUUACACGACGAAGGUUUCGCGGAAUGCCAACAUAGCCAAGCUCCAAGCAGGCUAUUUGUUUCCCGAGAUUGCCAGAAGAAGGGCAGCUCAUCUGCUGAAGCAUCCUGACGCCAAAAUUAUAAGUCUGGGAAUAGGUGACACUACUGAGCCCAUUCCGGAGGUCAUAACAAAUGCCAUGGCAGAGAGAGCACAUGCUUUAUCCACAGUGGAUGGCUACAGUGGUUAUGGAGCUGAACAAGGUGAAAAGAAACUAAGGGCAGCAAUUGCUGCAACCUACUAUGCGGAUCUUGGUAUCGACGAAACCGAUAUAUUUGUCUCUGAUGGUGCAAAAUGUGACAUUUCUCGUCUACAGGUUCUUUUUGGAUCUAAAGUGAAGAUUGCAGUUCAAGACCCAUCAUAUCCCGCAUAUGUUGAUUCAAGUGUUAUCAUGGGGCAAACUGACUUAUAUCAGCAGGAUGUUCAGAAGUAUGGAAAUAUUGAAUACAUGAGAUGCAGUCCUGAAAAUGGAUUUUUCCCUGAUCUUUCCAAGGUCCCACGGACAGAUAUCAUAUUCUUUUGUUCACCCAACAAUCCUACUGGUGCUGCUGCAUCUAGGGACCAGCUAACACAGUUGGUCAAAUUCGCAAAGGACAAUGGGUCCAUAAUAGUCUAUGAUUCUGCUUAUGCCAUGUACAUAUCAGAUGACAGCCCAAAAUCCAUCUUUGAAAUUCCUGGGGCAAAGGAGGUUGCCCUCGAGACAGCGUCUUUCUCUAAAUAUGCUGGGUUCACUGGUGUCCGACUGGGUUGGACCGUGGUCCCUAAGGAGCUCCUUUUCUCUGAUGGGCAUCCAGUUGCUAAAGAUUUCAACCGCAUAGUCUGCACUUCCUUCAAUGGCGCAUCGACCAUCUCUCAGGCCGGUGGUUUAGGCUGCCUCUCUCCAGAGGGUCUAAAGGCUAUGCAAGACGUUGUCGGAUUCUACAAGGAGAACACCAAAAUCAUUGUUGACACGUUUGAGUCGCUCGGAUUCAACGUCUACGGUGCCAAGAAUGCCCCCUAUGUGUGGGUGCACUUCCCUGGCCGCAAUUCCUGGGAUGUCUUUGCAGAGAUCCUUGAGAAGGCAAACGUGGUCACUACUCCUGGCAGUGGAUUUGGGCCCGGUGGCGAGGGCUUUGUGAGGGUCAGCGCAUUUGGCCACAGAGAGAACAUUAUUGAAGCUGCGAGAAGACUGAAGCAGCUAUACAAAUAA
This 1395-nucleotide ribosomal RNA is filed under the name Triticum aestivum (bread wheat). RNAcentral describes it as "partial small subunit ribosomal RNA". Lineage: Eukaryota; Viridiplantae; Streptophyta; Magnoliopsida; Poales; Poaceae. The record is from RNAcentral.